This is a non-coding RNA of Podarcis muralis (Common wall lizard), 1642 nucleotides long. NCBI's taxonomy places the organism in Eukaryota, Metazoa, Chordata, Lepidosauria, Squamata, Lacertidae. The record is from RefSeq and is a predicted model, not a curated record.
GCAGAUGAGAGCAUGCGCAGAUGGGGGGGCGGGUGCGCCUUCUGACUCGGCUGUCUAUCCGUGCGCUUUUACGCGCCGAGCCAAAGUACUAACAUUCCCCUGGCUUCAUAUUUCGUUGCUGAGAUAAGAUGCCUGAGUCAUUCCUUCAGGAUCAUAAUUGGAUUAAGAGAACACAUCAUUUCCAGGAUUCUCCACAGGCAAUAUCGAAUGAAACAUGGAGAAAGGAAGAAGUCACACAUGUUGGGUUCAGAUGCACAAAAGUUCUCCAUGCAAAAAAGAUCCUAGUGGACAUAGAACCAGGUCAGACUAUUUGACCGUCUACCCAAAUUUCUAUAACUGGCAAGAGCUCUCCAUGGUGUCAUGGAGAAACCACAUCAACAGCGAUCUAAUCCUUUUAACUGUGGAUGGCAAGGCUUGCUCAAUAGAACCUUCUGCUUACAAAGAAUGUGCUCUACCCCUGAGCUUUCAUCCCUCUGCAUGGAAGAAAGUAAUGUCUUCUCUGGUGCAAUCAUUCCUUGUGCCAUUUUCCACUGGAUGUUAACCCACAGUUUCCAUGCUUUUUGGAGCACACCUGAAAUGGUUAGUCCCUUAACUCUCAUAUUAAAAAUGAAUUGAUCUUACAACAACCAGCUGGAAUAGGGACAUAUCAGGGUGGUGCAGGAAGGAGCCAAAUUGCUUGAUUAAUUUGAUGUAAUCUGCAAACUUGGCUUCCAUUCGUUGACUUGCUCCUGAUUCUACACUACAGUCUUUUGUAAGAAUUACUGUACACUUCCCCCCAUUGUCCAUCUAGUCCUUCCCUCUGCUUCCCGUUUUUUUUACCCAUUAUUUUCCUAGUGUGCCUACUAAAUGUUAAUUCAGUGCUAGGUCAUGUUAGAGUAGUGACUAUCUGAAAUACCCAAUUUUGAAAAUGUUUCCCUAAUUAUAAUUUUCUUUAUUUUGUAUAUGCUUAGUACAUAGCUUGUAUAAAUUAAACAAGACACAUCUGGCUUCUUUUGCAAUUAGUUUGAUGUCAACCCAAUUUUCAGUAGAUAGAUUGGACUACAAAGGUUCAUGUACACCAUGUUGACUUCCAUGGUAGAAGAAAGGUAGGAUAUUAAUAUACUAAAUAAAUAAGUUCUUUUGAAAAAGACACCUGACUAGCAGGACCUAGACUGCCAAACUGAUAUUUCCACUGAAUGCCCUCAACUUUUCUUAACAGUCCAUUGUUUCAAAGGAAUGUCUUAUCUGAGGGAGGUCAAACAGGUAGCUUGUAGCAAUGUUGGAGCAAGUAACACUUCAUUAAUUUAGAGUCAUUGCACAUAAAUCACAAGGAAUUCUAUUAUGCUGAUCUAAAGUACUUCAUUUUGGAUUUUAAGUUGGCUUGCCAUUCCCCCCAUCCCUCAGUCUGUGCUUUAAAAUAUGUCUCUGGUUUCUGGUUCACUAAUGUUUCAAAAUGAGCAGAGACUUUGUGAACUAAUAUUUACAGUGCCUCAGUGUUCUAGGUAAAAUUAUUAUUUUGUGUAAAGUGUUCUGAGCCAAAUGAAUGAGGAAGAAAAAAUACACUGAGAAAUCUUACGUUCCACACCUCAAAUCUUAGAUAAUAAUUAAGUGCAUCUGUGUCACCCUCCCUUUAUUGUCCUCUACACAAUAUUGUAUUUUUUUU